AUACAUCUUCAUCAUUUUAAAUUAUAGGUUAAACCAAAAGAAUUUACAAUAGGAAGAAAAAUAAGGUGAAAACUGGAAAGAUGGAUCCAGAUUAUUGACGUCCAAAGAGUAAAAGAGUACACAAACCAUUAGAAAGGUGGUCGAGACAAUAAGAGUAGAUACGAAAUCCAGAGUCUUAAAAGACAUUAUAGAAAUUAGAGAAGAAGAUGGUAACGCCGCUCGCUAUCUGCACCGACACCAUUCUUGAAAUCGACCGACGAAGAAGAAGGCUCGGUGAAAAGAGAUGGCUGGAAAAUUACUUCCACUUCUUGAAUUUUCCUCCGCCAAACAUCCCGUGUUUCCCAUGUUUGUGUUUCCCAAACUUUCCGUGCUUGAACUUCCCAUGGUGCUUGAAUUUUCCACCGUGACCGUGACCAUGACCAUAAUGAGCAACACCAUGGGGGUA
This 445-nucleotide long non-coding RNA is filed under the name Cucumis sativus (cucumber). RNAcentral's name for it is "long non-coding RNA (CSAT_LNC001416)". Lineage: Eukaryota; Viridiplantae; Streptophyta; Magnoliopsida; Cucurbitales; Cucurbitaceae. The record is from RNAcentral.